UAACGCGUGAGGAACCUGCCUUUCAGAGGGGACAACAGUUGGAAACGACUGCUAAUACCGCAUAAUGCAUAGGUAUCGCAUGGUACAGAUGCCAAAGAUUUAUCGCUGAGAGAUGGCCUCGCGUCUGAUUAGCUAGUUGGUAGGGUAACGGCCUACCAAGGCGACGAUCAGUAGCCGGACUGAGAGGUUGGCCGGCCACAUUGGGACUGAGAUACGGCCCAGACUCCUACGGAAGGCAGCAG
This 242-nucleotide ribosomal RNA is filed under the name uncultured bacterium. RNAcentral's name for it is "partial 16S ribosomal RNA". It matches the Rfam family "Bacterial small subunit ribosomal RNA", at positions 111 to 354 of the family's 1533-position model. The record is from RNAcentral.